RNAcentral lists this signal recognition particle RNA (298 nucleotides) under Pongo abelii (Sumatran orangutan). Its description in RNAcentral is "Metazoan signal recognition particle RNA (ENSPPYG00000038372.1)". It matches the Rfam family "Metazoan signal recognition particle RNA". Rfam says of the family: The signal recognition particle (SRP) is a universally conserved ribonucleoprotein. The record is from Rfam by way of RNAcentral. Lineage: Eukaryota; Metazoa; Chordata; Mammalia; Primates; Hominidae.
GCCAGGUGUGGUGGUGUGUGCCUACAGUCCCAGCUACUUGGGAAGCUGAGGUAAGAGGACCGCCUGAGCCCAGGAGUUUUGGGCUGUAGUGGGCUGUGCUAACCAGGUAUCUGCACGAAGUUUGGCAGCAACAUGGUGACCUUCUAGGAAUGGGGAACCACCAGCUUGCUAAGGAGGGGUGAACUGACCCAAGUAGGAAAGGGAGCAGGUCAAAACUCCCAUGCCGAUGAGUAAUGGGAUUGUGCCUAUAAAUAUCCACUGCACUGCAGCCUGGCAACAUAAUAAGACCCCGUCUCUA